This 562-nucleotide ribosomal RNA is filed under the name Triticum aestivum (bread wheat). Its description in RNAcentral is "partial small subunit ribosomal RNA". The record is from RNAcentral. Lineage: Eukaryota; Viridiplantae; Streptophyta; Magnoliopsida; Poales; Poaceae.
UUGACAAGGGCUUUCUACCUACACCUUCCUGAGUGACGUUCAUCUUGAGCGGUGUGCUUUUCCUUUAGAGUGUCUUUCAAGAGAAAACACGGAACGUUCUAGAUUACCGGUCUUUAUGAAAGUUGUGGACUUAGACUGGGUGACGAAACUUAUCUUCUUAUGACAACUUAAGACGUUUAAGUUACUUCAAACAGUCCUUAUAAACUCCGACAUUUUCACGCGGUAUGAUAUAUGCAGUUACCUGAGCGGUUUUGGUAGUGCGCCGACGUUGACUAACUCGUUGACUUGACGUCGGAGGGGCUCAAAGUAGGACACUAUACAAGACCUCUCUUGAAGUAGGCCACUAAUACUUCUUCUUAGUCGUAUUCAAUUCUUGUAGACUAGCUUUAUCGGGGGGCAUCGAAGGAGCUACUGAAAUGUCUACGCUAGACGUAUGUAUAUAUCAUGGAAAAAGGGUUUCCCAACACUACUUAUGAUCCUAAAAUGCAUCUUCCUCGUUACUUAACAACAUAAGACAUGUAUGCGCUGAUACGUGCAAGUUAAAAGUCGUCCAUUUAAACAU